AUUGAACGCUGGCGGCAGGCCUAACACAUGCAAGUCGAGCGGAUGAAGGGAGCUUGCUCCUGGAUUCAGCGGCGGACGGGUGAGUAACGCCUAGGAAUCUGCCUGGUAGUGGGGGAUAACGUCCGGAAACGGGCGCUAAUACCGCAUACGUCCUGAGGGAGAAAGUGGGGGAUCUUCGGACCUCACGCUAUCAGAUGAGCCUAGGUCGGAUUAGCUAGUUGGUGGGGUAAAGGCCUACCAAGGCGACGAUCCGUAGCUGGUCUGAGAGGAUGAUCAGUCACACUGGAACUGAGACACGGUCCAGACUCCUACGGGAGGCAGCAGUGGGGAAUAUUGGACAAUGGGCGAAAGCCUGAUCCAGCCAUGCCGCGUGUGUGAAGAAGGUCUUCGGAUUGUAAAGCACUUUAAGUUGGGAGGAAGGGCAGUAAGUUAAUACCUUGCUGUUUUGACGUUACCAACAGAAUAAGCACCGGCUAACUUCGUG
Molecule: ribosomal RNA, 484 nt
Filed under: uncultured bacterium
Lineage: Bacteria
Description: partial 16S ribosomal RNA
Rfam family: Bacterial small subunit ribosomal RNA
Source: RNAcentral